UUUCGUCUUCUCCCUUCUGGCCGUUUCUUCUCCCUCCUCUCCGCGACUCACCACUUUGGUCGGCGACGAGUUCGUCGUUUCCGGCAACUACAAGCCAACAAACCACCGGAAAGAAACCCUCUCCUUACAUUCAAUAUAACCCUUAAAUCUAUUUCUAAAAAUUCUCAUCCAUUUUUAUUUAUUAAGUUGGUGCCCAAGGCGAACCGUUUCCGGCUCAACGCCGACGAAUUGGACCUCACCGUUACAACCAAUCGUCUACCCUUCAUCUCAGAAAUCAAAAUCACCCGUUGCAUGCCUCGAUUCAUUACGGUUUAAGGUGAAUCAAAGUUUUUUACUGUAGAUUCUAAGUCCUCAACGCCCAGUUACGUAGCCUGCUCGAUUCCAAUUCUUAUUUAAGGGUAUGAUGCAAAACCCAUAAUUUCUUGGUCAGUUGGCUUCUACUGAGACUAUGCAGGUGGUACUCGGAGAAGUUUGUGAAGGGCCAAUGGGAAAAGGGGAUUGCAUUUCAGAUUGGCAGAAAUACAAAGCCUGCCUCUAUAGAUUGUAUUAAUUUUCCUUUGACUAGGAAUUUGGGGUUUCUCAGAGUUUUCAUUCGCCGGACAAUGAUAGGCGAAUCACCAUAAGAAGCAGCAAUUCUGUUGCAAACUGAAUCCGGGAUGACUAACCUAGAGUCUCAACCAAUUGAAAACUCUUGCAGAGGAAGACUCAGAAAAGAAAACCCCUCUACAUAAUGAAGAUAGAGAUGAGCUCGAGAAUAAUGUAGGAAAAUCUACAUCCCAGUAACAUGUUCAUAAUCGAUGGACAAUAUUUCGAGCGAUGAGCGGUUGAAUAAUUCCAAUCUUUUGAUCUGUGUAACAUGGUGCUAAGUUAGCCUCCUCAAACAGUAGAUAUGUAUAUGUAAAUAGCACAAGACUUACUAUAACAUGAAAAGCAGCAUAUAAAGUAUGUUAUAAAUGUAAACAACACCGUAAAUAGUAUCAGCUUUUGUAAUUGACACUAAAAAAUAUCAUCUUUAUGUGUAAACAUAUUAUAUAUAAAUAUUACCACCUUAAACU
Molecule: non-coding RNA, 1055 nt
Organism: Malus domestica (apple)
Lineage: Eukaryota; Viridiplantae; Streptophyta; Magnoliopsida; Rosales; Rosaceae
Source: RefSeq, a predicted model, not a curated record